AAAAAAAAAGCAGAGAAAGCCCAUCCACUCCACUCCUCUCCCCUCAAAAUCAUAGUGUAGCCAAAAAUCCAUUCCCAAUCACUACAAAACGACAAACCAAAAGCAGCACGCGUGCCCACUUUCCCAGAUUCCUCUCUCUUACAAUCAUAUUCAACGAUGACGAUGAUGAUUUUUGUUUUUGUUUGUCGUUUGCGCAGGGAGGAGGACGCGGAGGUGUUGGAGGUGGUGAUUGUAUUCAGGCCACUGCUAAUGGU
This 254-nucleotide unclassified non-coding RNA is filed under the name Hevea brasiliensis (rubber tree). The record is from RNAcentral. Lineage: Eukaryota; Viridiplantae; Streptophyta; Magnoliopsida; Malpighiales; Euphorbiaceae.